GUUAAUCGGGAUUACUGGGGCGUAAAGCGUGCGCAGGCGGUUUUGUAAGUCUGUCGUGAAAGCCCCGGGCUCAACCUGGGAAUUGCGAUGGAGACUGCAAGGCUUGAAUCUGGCAGAGGGGGGUAGAAUUCCACGUGUAGCAGUGAAAUGCGUAGAGAUGUGGAGGAACACCGAUGGCGAAGGCAGCCCCCUGGGUCAAGAUUGACGCUCAUGCACGAAAGCGUGGGGAGCAAACAGGAUUAGAUACCCUGGUAGUCCACGCCCUAAACGAUGUCUACUAGUUGUCGGGUUUUAAUUAACUUGGUAACGCAGCUAACGCGUGAAGUAGACCGCCUGGGGAGUACGGUCGCAAGAUUAAAACUCAAAUAAAUUGACGGG
This 378-nucleotide ribosomal RNA is filed under the name Massilia sp. 2-9. Its description in RNAcentral is "bacterial SSU rRNA". It matches the Rfam family "Bacterial small subunit ribosomal RNA", at positions 540 to 917 of the family's 1533-position model. The record is from RNAcentral. Lineage: Bacteria; Pseudomonadati; Pseudomonadota; Betaproteobacteria; Burkholderiales; Oxalobacteraceae.